RNAcentral lists this ribosomal RNA (402 nucleotides) under uncultured prokaryote. Its description in RNAcentral is "bacterial SSU rRNA". It matches the Rfam family "Bacterial small subunit ribosomal RNA", at positions 355 to 774 of the family's 1533-position model. The record is from RNAcentral.
UGGGGAAUAUUGCGCAAUGGGGGAAACCCUGACGCAGCAACGCCGCGUGAGUGAUGAAGGCUUUCGGGUCGUAAAACUCUGUCGUCGGGGACGAUAAUGACGGUACCCGAGGAGGAAGCCCCGGCUAACUACGUGCCAGCAGCCGCGGUAAUACGUAGGGGGCAAGCGUUGUCCGGAAUCACUGGGCGUAAAGGGCGCGUAGGCGGUUUGUUAAGUCAGGUGUGAAAGUUUUCAGCUUAACUGGAGAAGUGCACUUGAAACUAACUUACUUGAGUACUGGAGAGGUAAGCGGAAUUCCCAGUGUAGCGGUGAAAUUCGUAGAUAUUAGGAAGAACACCGGUGGCGAAGGCGGCUUACUGGACAGAGACUGACGCUGAGGCGCGAAAGCGUGGGGAGCGAACA